UACGGGGGGGGCAAGCGUUGUUCGGAAUUACUGGGCGUAAAGCGCACGUAGGCGGAUUGUUAAGUCGGGGGUGAAAUCCUGAGGCUCAACCUCAGAACUGCCUUCGAUACUGGCGAUCUUGAGUUCGGAAGAGGUUGGUGGAACAGCUAGUGUAGAGGUGAAAUUCGUAGAUAUUAGCUAGAACACCAGUGGCGAAGGCGGCCAACUGGUCCGAUACUGACGCUGAGGUGCGAAAGCGUGGGGAGCAAACAGG
Molecule: ribosomal RNA, 253 nt
Filed under: uncultured bacterium
Lineage: Bacteria
Description: partial 16S ribosomal RNA
Rfam family: Bacterial small subunit ribosomal RNA
Source: RNAcentral